This 163-nucleotide non-coding RNA is filed under the name human gut metagenome. Its description in RNAcentral is "Lysine riboswitch". It matches the Rfam family "Lysine riboswitch aptamer". Rfam says of the family: Riboswitches are metabolite binding domains within certain messenger RNAs that serve as precision sensors for their corresponding targets. Allosteric rearrangement of mRNA structure is mediated by ligand binding, and this results in modulation of gene expression. The record is from RNAcentral. RNAcentral also lists the same sequence under 1 other name.
AAGAUAGAGGCGCGGCUGACAAGAGUAGCUCCCGAGAAUACGGCAGAACACCGUGGGGGCGAAAGGGGAUGCCGCCGAGGGGCCGUCAGGUUGUCUGACCUUGCGGUUGCCGGGCCGUCGGUGAAUAUCCGCCGGACUGUCACUGUUGUGGAGCGCUAUCGUA